UGCAGAGUAGCCAAAGUAAAUAAGGCAAUAGAUUGUAAAUCUAUGAUUGGGUGUAUCACUCCUUUGUAU
Molecule: transfer RNA, 69 nt
Filed under: Lithophaga curta
Lineage: Eukaryota; Metazoa; Mollusca; Bivalvia; Mytilida; Mytilidae
Description: tRNA-Tyr
Source: RNAcentral